GUGGAUCAGUAAACUGUCAGAAGCAGCUGAGCCGAGUGAGCUGAUCGACACUGAAGAGUGCUACAGUGAGGGCAGCGAUCAGGACGAUAACGAGGAGUGCUUGUCCACUUCCUGUUCUCUGACCUCGGUGCAGGAAGCAGCAGAAUCUGACAACGGAGAAGAUGUCCCGCCUCCCUCUGAGGCUCUCCCUCCCCCCCCCUGUAGUGAGGAGGAGGAGGGACCUCUAAGCAGAAAGGGAAGAAGAAGAGUGGGGGCGGGUCGAGGAGGAGCGUCUGUCCCUCUGCUGCACGUCCCAGAAGAGAGAGAAGAAGAAGAAGGAGGAGGAGAGGCCG
Long non-coding RNA from Notothenia coriiceps (black rockcod), 332 nucleotides. RefSeq lists it as uncharacterized. The transcript is spliced from 3 exons. Lineage: Eukaryota; Metazoa; Chordata; Actinopteri; Perciformes; Nototheniidae. The record is from RefSeq and is a predicted model, not a curated record.